GGGGGCUUGUAGGCAAUGAAACUGAUGCACUGCACUUGACGGGUGUUGUCGAAUCCGAUGAUCCUGAUGAAGGCUUCAGGGUACUCCUUCUUGCACUCGUUAACUUCCUUCAACACUUGUGCUGAGUCAGUGCAUCCGAACAAGGGUAGCUUCCACAUUGUCCAGUACCUUCCAUCGUAGUAUCCGGGGGUGUUACCGUGCUCACGGUGCACAAACCCGUUCUAUAAUAUAAAAAAAAACCAAACCACACAUGUUACGACCACAACAACAACAACAACAACAAAAGUCCAAGAUCUAAGCUAGUUUAUGUUUUUUUCUUACCUCCAACUCGAAUUCAACACAGGGAAUCCACUUGUUGCGGAGGAGGUAGUCAACUUCCUUUCCCAACUCGACCUCGGAAAGGUCAGGAAGGUAAGAGAGAGUCUCGAACUUCUUCUUUCCGAUCGGAGGCCACACCUUUGAGAUUCAGACAAAACAACAUAUGAGUUCAUGUAAUUCGAACGAAAAAAGAAGAAGAAGAAAAAAGAUGUAUGACCUUCAUGCAGCUAACUCUUCCGCCGUUGCUUGUGAUGGAAGUAAUGUCGUUGUUGGCCUUGCGGGUGGAAGGGAAAGCAGCGGAGGACUUAAGUCCGGUGAAAGGAGCGACCAUAGUGGCCUGAGCCGGGGAGGCAACCAUUGUAGCGGAAGAGAGCAUAGAGGAAGCCAUUGUGUUCUUUCUCUUUUACUCUUUUGUGUGACUGAGGUUCUGUCUAGUGCUUUGGUCAUCUAUAUAUAAUGAUAAUAACAAUGAUAACAAUCACUUGAGUGAUCGUAGGGUCGAGGAAUCAUGAGGCUUGAGUGGGAAAGGAUUUAGACCGUUGGAUGAUGAGUGUGUGGAUAUGUGUGUGUGUGUGAGGUUUUAAGUCACUUGGUAACGGCCACAGAAGCCUAAGGUAAGGUCCUGAGAGACCCUUAUCGGUUUGUAACGCUAGAACAGUGCCACGUGGAAGAUAAAUCUUAUCGUUAUCUAUGAGUG
RNAcentral lists this long non-coding RNA (1015 nucleotides) under Capsella grandiflora. Its description in RNAcentral is "long non-coding RNA (CGRA_LNC001131)". The record is from RNAcentral. Lineage: Eukaryota; Viridiplantae; Streptophyta; Magnoliopsida; Brassicales; Brassicaceae.